Molecule: ribosomal RNA, 509 nt
Filed under: Sordariomycetidae sp.
Lineage: Eukaryota; Fungi; Ascomycota; Sordariomycetes
Description: SSU rRNA
Rfam family: Eukaryotic small subunit ribosomal RNA
Source: RNAcentral
UUGAACCUUGGGCCCGGCUGGCCGGUCCGCCUCACCGCGUGCACUGGUCCGGCAGGGUCUUUCCCUCUGGGGAACCGCAUGCCCUUCACUGGGUGUGUCGGGGAACCAGGACUUUUACUUUGAAAAAAUUAGAGUGUUCAAAGCAGGCCUAUGCUCGAAUACAUUAGCAUGGAAUAAUAGAAUAGGACGUGUGGUUCUAUUUUGUUGGUUUCUAGGACCGCCGUAAUGAUUAAUAGGGACAGUCGGGGGCAUCAGUAUUCAAUUGUCAGAGGUGAAAUUCUUGGAUUUAUUGAAGACUAACUACUGCGAAAGCAUUUGCCAAGGAUGUUUUCAUUAAUCAGGAACGAAAGUUAGGGGAUCGAAGACGAUCAGAUACCGUCGUAGUCUUAACCAUAAACUAUGCCGACUAGGGAUCGGACGAUGUUAUUUUUUGACUCGUUCGGCACCUUACACGAAAGUACAAGUUUCUGGGUUCUGGGGGGAGUAUGGUCGCAAGGCUGAAACUUAAA